RNAcentral lists this ribosomal RNA (525 nucleotides) under uncultured bacterium. RNAcentral's name for it is "bacterial SSU rRNA". It matches the Rfam family "Bacterial small subunit ribosomal RNA", at positions 382 to 896 of the family's 1533-position model. The record is from RNAcentral.
CCUGACGACGCAACGCCGCGUGGAGGAUGAAGGUCUUCGGAUUGUAAACUCCUGUUGCCUGGGACGAAAGAACGGGGUGAGAAUACUGCCUCGUCGUGACGGUACCCCCAAAGGAAGCGCCGGCUAACUCCGUGCCAGCAGCCGCGGUAAUACGGAGGGCGCGAGCGUUGUUCGGAAUCACUGGGCGUAAAGCGCGCGCAGGCGGGACUAGCAAGUCGGGAGUGAAAUUUCGGAGCUCAACUCCGAGGCUGCUUCCGAAACUGCGGACCUGGAGACUGGUAGAGGUGGGUGGAAUUCCCGGUGUAGCGGUGGAAUGCGUAGAGAUCGGGAAGAACACCGGUGGCGAAGGCGGCCCACUGGGCCAGUUCUGACGCUGAGGCGCGAAAGCGUGGGGAGCAAACAGGAUUAGAUACCCUGGUAGUCCACGCCGUAAACGAUGGGCACUAGGUGCCGGGGGGAGCGACCCCUUCGGUGCCGCAGCUAACGCGUUAAGUGCCCCGCCUGGGGAGUACGGCCGCAAGGCUG